RNAcentral lists this ribosomal RNA (233 nucleotides) under uncultured bacterium. RNAcentral describes it as "partial 16S ribosomal RNA". It matches the Rfam family "Bacterial small subunit ribosomal RNA", at positions 97 to 334 of the family's 1533-position model. The record is from RNAcentral.
GGCGCACGGGUGAGUAAUGCAUAGGUAACGUGCCCCUUAGUCUGGGAUAGCCACUGGAAACGGUGAAUAAUACCGGAUAUUCCUUCUACCUUAAUGGUAGUCGGGAAAGUUUUUCGCUAAGGGAUCGGCCUAUGUCCUAUCAGGUAGUUGGUGAGGUAAGAGCUCACCAAGCCUAUGACGGGUAGCGGGUCUGAGAGGAUGAUCCGCCACACUGGUACUGAGACACGGACCAG